AGUGAACGCUGGCGGCGUGCUUAACACAUGCAAGUCGAACGAGAACGGGUUAUAACUUGUUAUAACUGUCAGCUAAGUGGCGCACGGGUGAGUAAUGUAUAGGUAAUAUGCCUCUUACUAAGGGAUAACAAAUGGAAACGUUUGCUAAUACCUUAUACUCCUUAUUAACCUAAGUUAAUAAGGGAAAGAUUUAUUGGUAAGAGAUUAGCCUGUAUUGUAUCAGUUAGUUGGUGGGGUAAUGGCUUACCAAGACUAUGACACAUAACUGGUUUGAGAGGAUGAUCAGUCACACUGGAACUGAGACACGGUCCAGACUCCUACGGGAGGCAGCAGUGGGGAAUAUUGCACAAUGGACGAAAGUCUGAUGCAGCAACGCCGCGUGGAGGAUGACACAUUUCGGUGCGUAAACUCCUUUUAUAUGAGAAGAUAAUGACGGUAUUAUAUGAAUAAGCACCGGCUAACUCCGUGCCAGCCGCCGCCGUAA
Molecule: ribosomal RNA, 484 nt
Filed under: uncultured bacterium
Lineage: Bacteria
Description: partial 16S ribosomal RNA
Rfam family: Bacterial small subunit ribosomal RNA
Source: RNAcentral